Long non-coding RNA from Scatophagus argus, 539 nucleotides. RefSeq lists it as uncharacterized. The record is from RefSeq and is a predicted model, not a curated record. The transcript has 3 exons. Lineage: Eukaryota; Metazoa; Chordata; Actinopteri; Scatophagidae.
CUCUUCUUCUACGGCGAGACAGAAAGGUCAUUUGUGGCUCACUGCCGCCGCCUGCAGGAAGGAACUGAAAAAGACGACGUCCUGCAAAAACAUUUCCCCACCUCCGCUGCCUCCACCCACAGCAUGCAGAAGCUUACAGACCAUCUCUCAGCUUGAACACCCUCCUCCACCCUCCUCCACCGUCCUCCCCCGUGACUGUGGCAGCCCACGGCCUCCCUGUGAAGGCCGACAUUGUCGUGCUCGCACACAAAAUCACGAAUGCGGUGGGUUUGCCUCCAUGUGACUGACAACAGUAAUUACCUCCUUUCCCACGCCUCAUCAGCGCAUCUGAAAAGUCAGUACAGCUGAGCUCUUGGACUUCAGCAACAGAAGCAUCAAUUUCAGACUCACAUAACGUGGUGGAUGAAUCAGGGCUGGGAAGGUGACGGAGGAGCACAGCACACGGCAGGCCCCUUCAGGCAGAGCCAUCGACCUCCAGCUGCUCCAGUGAAGCUGUGUGUGUGUGUGUGUGUGUGUGUGUGUGUGUGUGUGUGUGUGUG